UGUUUCUGUAGGGUGAUGGAUUUGCUACAUCUCCAUCACGAAGCGCUGACAAACUUACAAUGCUGUAUACAGAGUCCGAGUUGAGACUGAGGAGUUGAGAUACGUGGAAGAAUAUCGCUUAGGAGCAGCUGCUAGCCUUGACUGAGCCCUAGGCACUGUUUUGACAGCAGUUGAUAUACAACCUUAUGGAAAGCCCAGACCGUUGCACGUAGCUGGAGCUUGUAAGGAGAAGCAGCUGAAAUCAGCCGGAGCUUCAGUGCGGAGCUGGGGCUUCAACGAGCCAGAACUGUAGCAAGCGGGAGCUGGAACGAGGCGGGGUGUCCGCUGUCUGGAGCGUGCAUUAGCCAGAGGCAAAAGUACCUGCGGCUGUAACGAGCUGGAGCGUCUUUUCGCUGGAGCGUCCGUCGGCCGGACGGCGCUCCCAGCACGGCGGAAGAGCGGCCGGGCGCAGGCAGGGCUGUCCGCAGCAAGCAGCUCCGAGCAGCAGGGAGCGUCACCUUCCGCGUCACACGAAGAAAAUCCUGCGUGGUCAGUUCCGCUUGCUGCUCAGGUAAUCGCACGUAUCGGGCUGGGGGAGCGGAGAGAAACACUUGCGAGUUCGAGGGCACUACAGAUGCUCCACGUUAAACCCACAGAGAAGGCAAAUUUGCUGCUAGUGCAGAAAAGCUGAUGGAAAAAUUGCUGUUAACAGAUCGUGCCCUAUUCUUGAACUGGUCCCUUGAUGUGUUUUUGUUUCAGGUGAAAGAACGAAAUUUCCUGUCUGGUAAAUUCAGAGCUGCCUGUUAGCUUCUUCAGGGUCGAGUGUUUCUCUUCUCUCUGUUCAUACUGAUUUUAUGGGCAAGUUGGAAAUAGCCUUUUACUUUUUUAUGUAUAACUGAAUUUUUAGGAAUAUGUGGUGUCCCUGUAGUUCAUUUUUGAGCACCUAGAUGCCAGUAGAAAUGUAAUGAGCGAAACAUGAUGGGAACUGGUACUUAAACUUGAUUUUUAUUUGGGGUUUUUU
This is a long non-coding RNA of Haliaeetus leucocephalus (bald eagle), 1000 nucleotides long. RefSeq lists it as uncharacterized. The record is from RefSeq and is a predicted model, not a curated record. Lineage: Eukaryota; Metazoa; Chordata; Aves; Accipitriformes; Accipitridae. The transcript is spliced from 3 exons.